CAACCUGCCGUCUACUCUUGGACAGCCUUCUGAAAGGAAGAUUAAUACAAGAUGGCAUCAUGAGUUCACAUGUUCACAUGAUUAAAGGUAUUCCGGUAGACGAUGGGGAUGCGUUCCAUUAGAUAGUAGGCGGGGUAACGGCCCACCUAGUCUUCGAUGGAUAGGGGUUCUGAGAGGAAGGUCCCCCACAUUGGAACUGAGACACGGUCCAAACUCCUACGGGAGGCAGCAGUGAGGAAUAUUGGUCAAUGGGCGAGAGCCUGAACCAGCCAAGUAGCGUGAAGGAUGACUGCCCUAUGGGUUGUAAACUUCUUUUAUAAAGGAAUAAAGCCGGGUAUGUAUACCCGUUUGCAUGUACUUUAUGAAUAAGGAUCGGCUAACUCCGUGCCAGCAGCCGCGGUAAUACGGAGGAUCCGAGCGUUAUCCGGAUUUAUUGGGUUUAAAGGGAGCGUANAUGGAUGUUUAAGUCAGUUGUGAAAGUUUGCGGCUCAACCGUAAAAUUGCAGUUGAUACUGGAUAUCUUGAGUGCAGUUGAGGCAGGCGGAAUUCGUGGUGUAGCGGUGAAAUGCUUAGAUAUCACGAAGAACUCCGAUUG
This 595-nucleotide ribosomal RNA is filed under the name uncultured Bacteroidota bacterium. RNAcentral describes it as "bacterial SSU rRNA". It matches the Rfam family "Bacterial small subunit ribosomal RNA", at positions 122 to 715 of the family's 1533-position model. Lineage: Bacteria; Pseudomonadati; Bacteroidota. The record is from RNAcentral.